Molecule: small nuclear RNA, 18 nt
Filed under: Arabidopsis thaliana (thale cress)
Lineage: Eukaryota; Viridiplantae; Streptophyta; Magnoliopsida; Brassicales; Brassicaceae
Description: snRNA_15648
Source: RNAcentral
CGGAUUACGGUGGCGGCC